AUGAUCAAGGGAGACCAGCGGCAGCUUGGAGGUCAUGAAGAGCGGCUGAAAGAUCAGAUGAGAGAUGAUCAUCGGGCCUCUGAUGGCAAUUUUUUCAAGUUCUUGCAAAACCAGUCAAGCACAAAAAAAGAGGCUCAAGAAGACAAGAUUGCGUCCACAAGGGCAGAAAUGGGCGAAGUCAGAAAAGAGAACGAGAGGCUGAAGAUUAUGCUAUCACGGAUGGUGGAGGACCAUCGCUCGCUUCAGAAGCAAUUCGACGUUCUCCACCAUCAAGGGCGAGGCAAGGACAUCGCCGUUGGCUCACCGGAGCAUACAUCAGCAGUCGACGGCCCCGGGUUCGUCUCUUUGCACCUUGGAACGAGCGCCGGCAUGAGCAGGCAGAACAUGGGAGAAGAGAUCAAGGGCAGCACUAAUAAUCCAGAUGACAAGGGCAUCUUUCUUGGACUUUCAUCAGCCUGCGGAGCUGUUGGUGCAAGAACUGAUGGAAGUGAGACGAAGGUGCGGCCAGAUGUGGUGACGUUGAGCCCCGGAGGCAGCUCCAAGGAGGAGGCCGCGGAGACGACAACGUCAGCCACAGCAAGCAAGAUGGCAAAGAACCCGAGAAGCACCGGCAGCGGCGCGGUGACAGAGGAGGUGGCCCAGCAGCCACUGGCCAAGAAGGCCAGGGUGUCGGUGAGGGCAAGGUGUGACACACCAACGAUGAACGAUGGGUGCCAGUGGAGGAAGUACGGGCAGAAGAUAUCCAAGGGGAACCCAUGUCCACGCGCCUACUACCGCUGCACCGUCGAAACAGGGUGCCCCGUCAGAAAACAGGUGCAAAGAUGCGCGGAGGACAUGUCGAUCCUGAUCAGCACCUACGAGGGCGCGCACAACCACCCGUUGUCCGCCUCCGCCACCGCCAUGGCAUCCACCACCUCAGCCGCGGCAUCCAUGCUCGUGUCGGGCUCUUCCACCUCGCUCGGCUUCCCCUCUGCCGCCUCCAGCCUCCACGGCCUUAGGUUCGGCAUCCCGGGGGUGGCCAGUAGCACCUCCACUAACGAGCUGGGCGGCCGACCGUUCUUCCUCCCGGCCGCCGCCGGCGCGUCCAUCAGCGCCACCCCGUCGUACCCCACCAUCACCCUCGACCUCACCUCGCAGGCUGCCUCACAACAGGCCUUCUCCCUCAGCAACACCAACAGGUUCUCCUCCAGCUCCACCGGCUCUUACGGCCACAAUACCAGCGCUGGUAGGUACCCUUCCACGAGCUUCUCCUUCUCCGGCUCCGGCGCGAGCAGCCUACCUGGCGCCACCCCCUGGCCGGCCGGUGUUGGAUCGUACCUGAGCUACGGAUCCUCGCCCAGCGCACCCUACAACGGCGCCGGCAAGAGCUCAUUCGAGGCCGCGCUCAGCGGCAUCAAUGGAAGGCAACAAGGAUCGGCGGCAUUCCUCUACCAGCCGGUGCAGCAGAGGGCGGCUCCCGUGAGCGGCGGCAGCACGGCGCCGACCGUGCUCACCGACACGAUCGCCAAGGCGAUCACGUCGGACCCGGGCUUCCACACAGCGCUCGCGGCCGCCAUCACGUCGUAUGUUGGCAAGCCGGCUGCAGGAGGCAGCAAGGGGCUCGAGUGGGGUGAGCACCUCGGGCUGGGGCCGUCCAGUGCGGCAGCCGCGGCGUGCUCGUCGGCAGUGCUGGCACGAUCGUCAUCAACGGGGGCCGCACAGAGCAGUUCCCCAAACGGCAGGAUGACAUCGCAGGCGCUGUCGGGCUCCACGAGUGCUACUGCUUCGACAUUGUGA
RNAcentral lists this ribosomal RNA (1776 nucleotides) under Triticum aestivum (bread wheat). RNAcentral describes it as "partial small subunit ribosomal RNA". The record is from RNAcentral. Lineage: Eukaryota; Viridiplantae; Streptophyta; Magnoliopsida; Poales; Poaceae.